UGAUUUGUUUCCAGUACCUCCUCCAAUGAGAUCCAUACAUUUGCAGAUUGCCUCAGUAAAGAGUAAGGGAAAGUUAAAAGGGGAAUAUCCACUCUCUCCACCCACUCACUUUUCCUACAGUUAUAACCAGGGACACUGCAUUAUAUGGAUUUAUUGGACAGAAGAACCUCCAGAGGCUGUGAGCUUACAGAUACACUCACUGGCAAAAUGCUUCUGUUGUUUCUGUGUCUGGUUUUGGGAACUCCACAAGGACAAGGGGUUAAUGUAACGUGUGACAAUGCAUCGCUUUCAAAAGACCAGCAUCUGACACUGUGCUGUACACUGGAUUACACUGCCAUACAAACUCUCAACCAUGGGACAAAUGACACAACAUGUGUUACUGAGUGGUAUGUAUGGAAGUGUUCAGAUAUUGUAAAACGGAGUUGUACUGAAGACUGUCACAUGGAAGAAACGGAAGCACCGUCACGAAAAUGCUAUUAUACGAAAGGAAUUGUUACAAAAGCUGAUGAGGGUAAAUACACUUUUUCCAUUGGCACAAACUGUGGGACUGGUUCAGGGACAACAAGCUUUUUCAAUGUUCCAGUUACUGUGAAAAGUGUUGACAACGGGAGAGACCAACAAGAUGGGAGAGACCAACAAGCUCCUGUAUGGUUAGCCCUGGUUGUUAUCAUCAGCGUCAUCGCUGUUCUGGGCGUUCUAUUGUUUCUCAAAACUUCUCGUUCUGGCAGAGGAUUGAUGGAACGACUCAAGAGUUCUAUGACCCAGAGCAACAACAAUACUAAUGAGAGCCCUGAAGGUUCAAGAGAGGCACUUAACAUGGUGUCUGCAUAACAUUCAGCGUGAGCCAGUUGGCUUGUUGGUUCUUUCGAAAUGAACUCAACYUUGACCUCUGCUAUGUUGCUGUAUGUCAGACGCAUUCUAUACCAAUAAGACCRGUGUGGCUCAGUUGGUAGAGCAUGGCGCUUGCAACGCCAGGGUUGUGGGUUCAUUCCCCACGGGGGGACCAGG
Non-coding RNA from Salvelinus sp. IW2-2015, 1008 nucleotides. The record is from RefSeq and is a predicted model, not a curated record. Lineage: Eukaryota; Metazoa; Chordata; Actinopteri; Salmoniformes; Salmonidae.